This 490-nucleotide ribosomal RNA is filed under the name uncultured Meliniomyces. RNAcentral describes it as "eukaryotic LSU rRNA". The stretch from base 142 to 295 matches the Rfam family "5.8S ribosomal RNA". The record is from RNAcentral. Lineage: Eukaryota; Fungi; Ascomycota; Leotiomycetes; Helotiales; Helotiaceae.
UGGGUUCUAUUCCCAAACCGUGUGUACAUACCUUUGUUGCUUUGGCAGGCCGCCUUUUAGGCGUCGGCUCCGGCUGACUGCGCCUGCCAGAGGACCCAAACUCGUUUGUUUAGUGAUGUCUGAGUACUAUAUAAUAGUUAAAACUUUCAACAACGGAUCUCUUGGUUCUGGCAUCGAUGAAGAACGCAGCGAAAUGCGAUAAGUAAUGUGAAUUGCAGAAUUCAGUGAAUCAUCGAAUCUUUGAACGCACAUUGCGCCCCUUGGUAUUCCGAGGGGCAUGCCUGUUCGAGCGUCAUUAUAACCACUCAAGCCUCGGCUUGGUCUUGGGGUUCGCGGUCUCGCGUCCCUUAAAACCAGUGGCGGUGCCGUCUGGCUCUAAGCGUAGUAAUUCUCUCGCUAUAGGGUCCCGGCGGUUGUCUGCCANAACCCCCCAUUUUUUACGGUUGACCUCGGAUCAGGUAGGGAUACCCGCUGAACUUAAGCAUAUCAA